CACGUAGGCGGACUGGUCAGUUGGGGGUGAAAUCCCAGGGCUCAACCCUGGAACUGCCUCCAAUACUGCCAGUCUUGAGUCCGAGAGAGGUGAGUGGAAUUCCUAGUGUAGAGGUGAAAUUCGUAGAUAUUAGAAGAACACCAGUGGCGAAGGCGGCUCACUGGCUCGGUACUGACGCUGAGGUGCGAAAGCGUGGGGAGCAAACA
RNAcentral lists this ribosomal RNA (206 nucleotides) under uncultured bacterium. RNAcentral describes it as "partial 16S ribosomal RNA". It matches the Rfam family "Bacterial small subunit ribosomal RNA", at positions 568 to 774 of the family's 1533-position model. The record is from RNAcentral.